RNAcentral lists this ribosomal RNA (2930 nucleotides) under Proteus mirabilis. RNAcentral's name for it is "bacterial LSU rRNA". It matches the Rfam family "Bacterial large subunit ribosomal RNA". Lineage: Bacteria; Pseudomonadati; Pseudomonadota; Gammaproteobacteria; Enterobacterales; Morganellaceae. The record is from RNAcentral.
GGGUUGUGAGGUUAAGCGAAUAAGCGUACACGGUGGAUGCCUAGGCAAUCAGAGGCGAUGAAGGACGUGCUAAUCUGCGAUAAGCGUCGGUAAGGUGAUAUGAACCGUUAUACCCGACGAUUUCCGAAUGGGGAAACCCAAUAUCCAAUGGAUAUUAUCAUGACGUGAAUACAUAGCGUCAUGAAGCGAACCGGGAGAACUGAAACAUCUCAGUACCCCGAGGAAAAGAAAUCAACCGAGAUUCCCCUAGUAGCGGCGAGCGAACGGGGAACAGCCCAGAGUCUUAAUCAAUAGCAGCAUCAGGAGAACGGUCUGGAAAGUCCGGCAGUAAAGGGUGAUAGCCCCGUAUCUGAAGAUGCUGUUAUUGUGAACUCGACGAGUAGGGCGGGACACGUGUUAUCCUGUCUGAAUAUGGGGGGACCAUCCUCCAAGGCUAAAUACUCCUGAUUGACCGAUAGUGAACCAGUACCGUGAGGGAAAGGCGAAAAGAACCCCGGCGAGGGGAGUGAAAAAGAACCUGAAACCGUGUACGUACAAGCAGUAGGAGCCUCUUUAUGGGGUGACUGCGUACCUUUUGUAUAAUGGGUCAGCGACUUAUAUUCUGUAGCAAGGUUAACCGUAUAGGGGAGCCGUAGGGAAACCGAGUCUUAACUGGGCGAAUGAGUUGCAGGGUAUAGACCCGAAACCCGGUGAUCUAUCCAUGGGCAGGUUGAAGGUUGGGUAACACUAACUGGAGGACCGAACCGACUAAUGUUGAAAAAUUAGCGGAUGACUUGUGGAUGGGGGUGAAAGGCCAAUCAAACCGGGAGAUAGCUGGUUCUCCCCGAAAGCUAUUUAGGUAGCGCCUCGUGAACUCAUCUUCGGGGGUAGAGCACUGUUUCGACUAGGGGGUCAUCCCGACUUACCAACUCGAUGCAAACUGCGAAUACCGAAGAAUGUUAUCACGGGAGACACACGGCGGGUGCUAACGUCCGUCGUGAAGAGGGAAACAACCCAGACCGCCAGCUAAGGUCCCAAAGUCAUGGUUAAGUGGGAAACGAAGUGGGAAGGCUCAGACAGCCAGGAUGUUGGCUUAGAAGCAGCCAUCAUUUAAAGAAAGCGUAAUAGCUCACUGGUCGAGUCGGCCCGCGCGGAAGAUGUAACGGGGCUAAACCAUGCACCGAAGCUGCGGCAGCGACACUAUGUGUUGUUGGGUAGGGGAGCGUUCUGUAAGCCUGCGAAGGUGUACUGUGAGGUAUGCUGGAGGUAUCAGAAGUGCGAAUGCUGACAUAAGUAACGAUAAUGCGGGUGAAAAACCCGCACGCCGGAAGACCAAGGGUUCCUGUCCAACGUUAAUCGGGGCAGGGUGAGUCGACCCCUAAGGCGAGGCUGAAAAGCGUAGUCGAUGGGAAACGGGUUAAUAUUCCCGUACUGGUGGUAACUGCGAUGGGGGAACGGAGAAGGCUAGGUUGUCCGGGCGACGGUCGUCCCGGUUCAAGCAUGUAGGCAGAGUGAUUAGGCAAAUCCGGUCACUUAAUGCUGAGGUGUGAUGACGAACCACUAAGGUGGUGAAGCAAUUGAUGCCCUGCUUCCAGGAAAAGCCUCUAAGCUUCAGGUUACCAACAAUCGUACCCCAAACCGACACAGGUGGUCAGGUAGAGAAUACUCAGGCGCUUGAGAGAACUCGGGUGAAGGAACUAGGCAAAAUGGUGCCGUAACUUCGGGAGAAGGCACGCUGGCGGUAAGUGAAGUCCCUUGCGGACGGAGCCGAAGCCAGUCGAAGAUACCAGCUGGCUGCAACUGUUUAUUAAAAACACAGCACUGUGCAAACACGAAAGUGGACGUAUACGGUGUGACGCCUGCCCGGUGCUGGAAGGUUAAUUGAUGGGGUUAUCCGUAAGGAGAAGCUCUUGAUCGAAGCCCCAGUAAACGGCGGCCGUAACUAUAACGGUCCUAAGGUAGCGAAAUUCCUUGUCGGGUAAGUUCCGACCUGCACGAAUGGCGUAAUGAUGGCCAGGCUGUCUCCACCCGAGACUCAGUGAAAUUGAACUCGCUGUGAAGAUGCAGUGUACCCGCGGCAAGACGGAAAGACCCCGUGAACCUUUACUAUAGCUUGACACUGAACAUUGAGCCUUGAUGUGUAGGAUAGGUGGGAGACUAUGAAGUGUGGACGCCAGUCUGCAUGGAGUCAACCUUGAAAUACCACCCUUUAACGUUUGAUGUUCUAACCUAGGUCCAUAAUCUGGAUCGGGGACCGUGUCUGGUGGGUAGUUUGACUGGGGCGGUCUCCUCCUAAAGAGUAACGGAGGAGCACGAAGGUUGGCUAAGCAUGGUCGGACAUCAUGCGGUUAGUGCAAAGGCAUAAGCCAGCUUGACUGUGAGAGUGACGGCUCGAGCAGGUACGAAAGUAGGUCUUAGUGAUCCGGUGGUUCUGAAUGGAAGGGCCAUCGCUCAACGGAUAAAAGGUACUCCGGGGAUAACAGGCUGAUACCGCCCAAGAGUUCAUAUCGACGGCGGUGUUUGGCACCUCGAUGUCGGCUCAUCACAUCCUGGGGCUGAAGUAGGUCCCAAGGGUAUGGCUGUUCGCCAUUUAAAGUGGUACGCGAGCUGGGUUUAGAACGUCGUGAGACAGUUCGGUCCCUAUCUGCCGUGGGCGUUGGAAGAUUGAGAGGGGUUGCUCCUAGUACGAGAGGACCGGAGUGAACGCACCACUGGUGUUCGGGUUGUCAUGCCAAUGGCAUUGCCCGGUAGCUAAGUGCGGAAGAGAUAACCGCUGAAAGCAUCUAAGCGGGAAACUUGCCUCGAGAUGAGUCUUCCCUGUCACCUUGAGUGACCUAAAGGAACGUUUAAGACUAAGACGUUGAUAGGCUGGGUGUGUAAGCGUAGCGAUACGUUGAGCUAACCAGUACUAAUGAACCGUGAGGCUUAACCUGACAACACCGAAGGUGUUU